RNAcentral lists this ribosomal RNA (440 nucleotides) under uncultured bacterium. RNAcentral's name for it is "bacterial SSU rRNA". It matches the Rfam family "Bacterial small subunit ribosomal RNA", at positions 958 to 1387 of the family's 1533-position model. The record is from RNAcentral.
AACGCGAAGAACCUUACCUGGCCUUGACAUGCAAGUGGUAGAACCAUGAAAGUGGGACGACCCCGCAAGGGGAGCUUGCACAGGUGCUGCAUGGCUGUCGUCAGCUCGUGCCGUGAGGUGUUGGGUUAAGUCCCGCAACGAGCGCAACCCUUACUCUUAGUUGCCACCCGCAAGGGGGAACUCUAAGAGGACUGCUCCGGAUAACGGAGAGGAAGGUGGGGAUGAGGUCAAGUCAGCAUGGCCUUUAUGUCCAGGGCUACACACGUGUUACAAUGCGCGCUACAAAGUGUCGCGAACCCGCGAGGGGGAGCUAAUCGCAAAAAAGCGCGCUCAGUUCGGAUUGCAGUCUGCAACUCGACUGCAUGAAGCUGGAAUCGCUAGUAAUGGCGCAUCAGAACGGCGCCGUGAAUACGUUCCCGGGCCUUACACACCGAGACGAC